This is a long non-coding RNA of Salvelinus fontinalis (brook trout), 388 nucleotides long. RefSeq lists it as uncharacterized. The transcript is spliced from 3 exons. The record is from RefSeq and is a predicted model, not a curated record. NCBI's taxonomy places the organism in Eukaryota, Metazoa, Chordata, Actinopteri, Salmoniformes, Salmonidae.
CACUUCCCUGGAGCACACACAUACAGGUAGAGGUUUUAGAGGGGGUUAUCACAAACAUACAGGGAGAGGUUUUAGAGGGGGUUAUCACACACAGGUUUUAGAGGGGGUCAUCACACACACAGGUAGAGGUUUUAGAGGGGGUCAUCACACACAGGUUUUAGAGGGGGUCAUCACACACACACAUACAGGUAGAGAUUUUAGAGGGGGUUAUCACACACAUACAGGGAGGUUUUAGAGGGGAUCAUCACACACACACAGGUAGAGGUUUUAGAGGGGGUAAUCAUACACACAGAGGUAGGUUUUAGAGGGGGUCAUCACACACACACACAAACAGGUAGAGGUUUAAAAGGGGGUUAUCACACACAUACAGGUAGAGGUUAUAGAGGGG